RNAcentral lists this ribosomal RNA (218 nucleotides) under uncultured Lactobacillus sp. Its description in RNAcentral is "partial 16S ribosomal RNA". It matches the Rfam family "Bacterial small subunit ribosomal RNA", at positions 144 to 354 of the family's 1533-position model. The record is from RNAcentral. Lineage: Bacteria; Bacillati; Bacillota; Bacilli; Lactobacillales; Lactobacillaceae.
UAACACCUGGAAACAGAUGCUAAUACCGGAUAACAAUAGAUGAUGCCUAUCAACUGUUUAAAAGAUGGCUCUGCUAUCACUCUUGGAUGGACCUGCGGUGCAUUAGCUAGUUGGUAGGGUAACGGCCUACCAAGGCGAUGAUGCAUAGCCGAGUUGAGAGACUGAUCGGCCACAUUGGGACUGAGACACGGCCCAAACUCCUACGGGAGGCAGCAGGC